AGCUAGUGUGAUUUUUGCUGGUGUUAACCUUGUUCUGUCAUAUUACCAGAGGUGGUUUCCUAGUUCCUUCCCAUUUCGGUAGGCUCUGUCAGAGGAAAUGUUAGGGCUCAAGGUUGCUGUUCAGUUCCUUUUGUCCCACGGGUUGUUUUUGAUGUAGUACUCUUCCCCAUUUCCUAUGGAUGUGCCUUCCUGGGAGUCGAGUUGUAGUGAUUGUUCUCUCUUCUGGAUCUAUCCACCCAGCAAGUAUACCAGGCUCUGGGCUGGUAUUGGGUGUUGUCUGCCCAGAGUCCUGUGAUGUGAACCAUCUUUGGGUCUUUCAGCCAUGUCAUUUUUUUAACACUUUUGAGAUUAGUUUUCUAUUUAUCUAAAUUUUCAUCACCUAUUUCAUGUGUGGAAACCUGCAAUUAUAUAUGAAUUUCUAUUUGUUUAAACUUGACCACUGCACCAUACCAUUUCCAGAAUUGUUUGGCUUGUUUUCUUUCCUAAAUGAAAUUUUCAUUGGCAUGUGAUUUAAAAGUAGCUUUGCUGCUUAUUUCAUGAUAUGCCUGCUGUGGUGUGAAAGAGUUUGGAUUGUAUUGCAUGCUUUUAGAAUUAUUACCUGAAUAUAUUUUAGGAUUUUCAAAUUUUUAUGGGGCAGCUUUUUUGUAUGCAUUAAUGUUUAAAAAUGUAAAGGUUAAAAUAUCUUUAAAUGAAGAUAUUAAAAAUAUUCUGCAUGUUUGUUGUAUAAGUAGAUUUUGGGGCCCAAUGCCAUAUAGCAUGCUAUUAACAUCACUUCCAAUAAGUAAUACUAGGGGCUGAUUGCUAAAUUUUACCUGAACUGAUAUCAUGUCAGACAUCUUUUAAGAUAUUCUUUUGAGUGAUGACAGUUAUAUGCAAAGGGUAUAUUGAUGUAACUGUUUAAAGACCUUUUGUAAUGUGGUAUACCAAAUUCAGCCAUUCAUUUUUGGUAUUGGAUACAUGGUAGUAUGAAAGAAGGUGUAGGUUAAGAAGUUUGUGUUUAUGUUAAGGGAGUU
Molecule: long non-coding RNA, 1013 nt
Filed under: Pan troglodytes (chimpanzee)
Lineage: Eukaryota; Metazoa; Chordata; Mammalia; Primates; Hominidae
Description: long non-coding RNA NONPTRT014199
Source: RNAcentral